Molecule: long non-coding RNA, 3231 nt
Filed under: Marmota monax (woodchuck)
Lineage: Eukaryota; Metazoa; Chordata; Mammalia; Rodentia; Sciuridae
Source: RNAcentral
CCCCCUGCUGCGGAGAGAAGUUGCUAGAACCUGUCCUCAUCCUAUCGAGUCGAGCGAGAAGCAGAACCGUAGGUAGUCCCGUUUACUGGCUGUUUUCCUCAGAUUUUCCUAUCGUUCUCUCGAAUCUUCGCUUGUAUCCAGUCACUGCCCACUUUCCUUUCUCCUGAAAGUAAGUCUGACUCGACGUAAGCUCUAGCGGUUUCUACCACAGGGUCACUGAGACCUGUUUCUUCCGGUAGGGUCUGUUCAGGCCAGAGGUCCGAAUGGGCAUUAUCGCGAGUUAGGAGUCCCGAGUUUCUUCCGGUUAGAAGCGUGAAGCUGUGUGGCCCCAAACAAAUCAAAGCCCUCUCUUCAUCCCAUCUUUAAAAUCCUCAGAUUGCGCCUCCUCGGUAAAUUAAAAUUUCAACAAAAAGGCCUCGUCAAGUGCGAUUUAAACUUAAAACCGAGUUGUGAUUCACUCUUUGGAAAGCCUCCCAUCCCCCUUUGCCAAUCCACUGGGCUGGAUAGGGUGGAGGGUGUUGGAAAAGCUGAAUGGUCUGUGAUGUUCUCCUAGCAAGGUGUUUUGUUUUGUCCCCCACUCUCCUCCCAUUUGUGAAGAUUCAGAGACCAUGUCUACAGAACUCUUUUCAUCCUCAAAAGAAGAGGGAAGGUCUCGCUCAGGACCCAGUUUUAGGUCCAAUCAGAGGAAGAUGUUACACCUGCUCCUGGAGAGAGACUCUUCCUUUACCAUCUAUCCAGGUCUCCUUAGAUCUCCAAUGGACAAACUCCUUGGCGAUUCUGCAAAUCUAAGCAUUUUGUCUGGGUAAACCCACUUUUAUUUUUAUACCUUAUCUCCUUUGCUUUACAAACAGGCUUGUUUGUUUAAUUAUCCUAGCUCAAAGAUCAGGAUUUAGGUCCCAGCUCCACUGUUGACUGUGUGACCCUUUUGAAUCUCAGGCUGCUUUUCUGUGUAAAACUGUCUCACUAGGAUCUUUUUUUUUUUUUUUUUGUGGUGUUGUGAAUUGAACCCAGGGCUUUGUGCAUGCGAGGCAAACAUUCUACCAGCUGAACUGUAUCCCAGCCCCCUCUCACAGGAUCUUGUGAAAAUCAAAUAAUGUAAUGACUGGGUAAAGUCUGAAAAUAUUCUGUUAUGAAUUGGCUGCUUUAUUAGCAUUAAUAUUAAUGUUAUUGUUCUUGUACUUUAAAUUCUGGUCAUCUGGGUUCCAUUCCUAGCACCACCAAAAACUAAAACAAAACAAAAAAACCAAAAACUGGUCAUGAUGUUUUUAUGCCUCACUACCAAAUAAGGAGAAGUAUUUGAAAAGUAUUAGAGACUGGAGGGAAAAAUCAAAUCUGUGUAUUCAUCAUAAACUGGGUAGAGGAUAUGGAUUCAAGAUUUCACUCAGUUAAUAAACUUUGGGCCUCAUUAAUUUUUUGUUUUUAAGUCCUGUCUCAAUAUCUUGGUGAAGAGAAAAUGAGGCACAUGAUGGAGUAGAGAAAAAUUGAGAGAUUUUUCGUAAUGAAGUCUGAUAUUUCUAGAAAGCAAUUAGAUACUUUUUAUAUUUUUGUGAUGGUCAUUGAGAGGUAUUUCAAAUGAAGGAUCUUUGCCUUUCAAGAUAUUACAACCUAAUGGGAAUCUUGAUGUACUAUUAUGUCUCAACAGAGGAACUCCAAAACGUUGCCUUGAUCUUACGAAUUUCAGCAGUGGGGAGAUGUCUGCCACUUACCUUACCACUUCUGCAGACCUUGAUGAAACUGGUAGGGAAAACGGAGGUAAAGGCCUCAAAGGGAAGAAUAACUUAAGGGAGAAGACAGGGAAGUAUGAUAGAAAUGGAAGAUGCUGAAAGUAGGUAGAGAAUCUACCUGAAGAAUUGGAAUUUUGAGAGUAAUUAGAGGAUUUUUUUUUUUUUUGGUACCAGGAAGUACCAGGAAUUCAACUCUGGGGUGCUUAACCACUGAGCAAUACCCUUAGUGCUUUUUAGUUUUUAUUUUGAGACAGGGCCUCACUGAGUUGCUUAGGGCCUUGCUAAGUUACUGAGGCUGGUUUUGAAGUUGUAAUCUGCCUGAGUCAGCCUCCUGAGUUGCUGGGAUUACAGGAGUAAUCCCACCUGGCAAGGAUUUUUUUUUUUUUUUUUUUAAUAAGACUGCACUUUGAAUGCCUCUGGGUACAUCUGCAGAGACCAAGCAACAUCCCCAGCCCUUUUUGCUUUAUUUUAAGGCAGGGCCUCACUAAGUUGCCUGGUCUGGCUUCAAAUUUGCAAUCCUUCUGCCUUAGCCUCCUGUGUAGCUGGGAUUAUAGGCGUGUGUUACCAUGCCAAGCUUAAUUAGAGAAUUUGAGGUGAUUAAUGAAGCCAAUGAGAAAAGAAAAAGAAUAACACUAAUAGGAACACUAAUAAAAACAAUAACAUUCUACAUUUGAAAAAGUUAGAUAAAAGGAAAUAUAUUUUAUUGACAGAUUAAUGGUACAAAAGAAAGUCCAGAAAAGUUUUGUUUCUUAGUUUAAUUUCAUCAGAGGCAAAGGAAUCAGCAUAAAUAAAUACUUUGUCAGUUGAUUCUUACACUUCUAUAGGUCUGUACCCCCAAAAAUGCUUCAUUACUAAACCAUUCUAGCAUUUCCUCUAAUUUUGGAUUUCCUGCAUAAUAACCUUUCUUUUCUACUCAUGAAUAAAAAAAAACUCCAUCACUAUUUCCGAGGUUUUCUGUUUUGUUUUGUUUGUUUUUUAAAGUUUUUAUAUUUGUAGAUGGACAGAAUGCCUUUAUUUCAUUUAUUUUUAUGUGGUGCUGGGGAUCGAACCCAGUGCCUCAUGCAUGCUAGGCAAGUGCUCUGCCACUGAGUUACAGCUACAGCCCCUUUUUUGUUUUUUUUGGUCAAGGUCUUGCUAAGUUGCUGAGGCUGGACUUGAACUUGUGAUUCUUCUGCCUCAGCCUCCCGAGCUGCAGGGAUUACUGGUGUGUGCCACAGCUCUCCCAGCUUUCCUAGUAUUUUUUCUUUGAGUAGUACAUGUAAAUUUUUAAGUUUCCAUGAAAUUGUAUUUUGUACUCUGGUAUUUUGUUCCAUAAGAUGGGUACCAGUUAAGAGCUUUGUGUUCUAGAGUUUAGCCUUUGAAAUUAAUGUGGCAUACUGGUAACAAAGAAAAUCAGAGGGGAAAACAGGAUGCAUGGGCAAGAAUAAUGCCUCUUACUGAUUCUUCAUAUUUGAUUUCAGGUCACUUGGAUUCUUCAGGGCCUCAGGAAGUACAGUUAGCUAGGAUG